This 253-nucleotide ribosomal RNA is filed under the name uncultured bacterium. Its description in RNAcentral is "partial 16S ribosomal RNA". It matches the Rfam family "Bacterial small subunit ribosomal RNA", at positions 524 to 776 of the family's 1533-position model. The record is from RNAcentral.
UACAGAGGGUGCGAGCGUUGUUCGGAAUUAUUGGGCGUAAAGGGCGCGUAGGCGGUGCGGUAAGUCACCUGUGAAAUCUCCUGGCUCAACUGGGAGCUUGCAGGCGAAACUGCCGUGCUGGAGUGUGGGAGAGGUGCGUGGAAUUCCUGGUGUAGCGGUGAAAUGCGUAGAUAUCGGGAGGAACACCGGUGGCGAAGGCGGCGACCUGGGACAAUACUGACGCUGAGGUGCGAAAGCGUGGGGAGCAAACAGG